RNAcentral lists this ribosomal RNA (363 nucleotides) under Escherichia coli. RNAcentral's name for it is "partial 23S ribosomal RNA". It matches the Rfam family "Bacterial large subunit ribosomal RNA", at positions 2568 to 2925 of the family's 2925-position model. The record is from RNAcentral. Lineage: Bacteria; Pseudomonadati; Pseudomonadota; Gammaproteobacteria; Enterobacterales; Enterobacteriaceae.
AGGGUAUGGCUGUUCGCCAUUUAAAGUGGUACGCGAGCUGGGUUUAGAACGUCGUGAGACAGUUCGGUCCCUAUCUGCCGUGGGCGCUGGAGAACUGAGGGGGGCUGCUCCUAGUACGAGAGGACCGGAGUGGACGCAUCACUGGUGUUCGGGUUGUCAUGCCAAUGGCACUGCCCGGUAGCUAAAUGCGGAAGAGAUAAGUGCUGAAAGCAUCUAAGCACGAAACUUGCCCCGAGAUGAGUUCUCCCUGACCCUUUAAGGGUCCUGAAGGAACGUUGAAGACGACGACGUUGAUAGGCCGGGUGUGUAAGCGCAGCGAUGCGUUGAGCUAACCGGUACUAAUGAACCGUGAGGCUUAACCUU